Molecule: ribosomal RNA, 437 nt
Filed under: uncultured bacterium
Lineage: Bacteria
Description: partial 16S ribosomal RNA
Rfam family: Bacterial small subunit ribosomal RNA
Source: RNAcentral
GAUGAACGCUGGCGGCAUACUUAACACAUGCAAGUCGAACGGGAAGUGGUGUUUCCAGUGGCGAAUGGGUGAGUAACGCGUAAGAACCUGCCCUUGGGAGGGGAACAACAACUGGAAACGGUUGCUAAUACCCCGUAGGCUGAGGAGCAAAAGGAGAAAUCCGCCCAAGGAGGGGCUCGCGUCUGAUUAGCUAGUUGGUGAGGUAAUAGCUUACCAAGGCGAUGAUCAGUAGCUGGUCCGAGAGGAUGAUCAGCCACACUGGGACUGAGACACGGCCCAGACUCCUACGGGAGGCAGCAGUGGGGAAUUUUCCGCAAUGGGCGAAAGCCUGACGGAGCAAUGCCGCGUGGAGGUGGAAGGCCUACGGGUCGUCAACUUCUUUUCUCGGAGAAGAAACAAUGACGGUAUCUGAGGAAUAAGCAUCGGCUAACUCUGUG